Molecule: ribosomal RNA, 301 nt
Filed under: uncultured bacterium
Lineage: Bacteria
Description: partial 16S ribosomal RNA
Rfam family: Bacterial small subunit ribosomal RNA
Source: RNAcentral
CAGUCGCCGCGGUAAUACGUAGGGUGCAAGCGUUAAUCGGAAUUACUGGGCGUAAAGCGUGCGCAGGCGGUGUUGUAAGACUGAUGUGAAAUCCCCGGGCUCAACCUGGGAACUGCAUUGGUGACUGCAACGCUGGAGUGCGGCAGAGGGGGAUGGAAUUCCGCGUGUAGCAGUGAAAUGCGUAGAUAUGCGGAGGAACACCGAUGGCAGAGGCAAUCCCCUGGGCCUGCACUGACGCUCAUGCACGAAAGCGUGGGGAGCAAACAGGAUUAGAUACCCGAGUAGUCCCUGUCUCUUAUAU